UCUCUGGUAACAGGAGUUCUGAAAGAAGCCCGGCGGCAAAGUUCCGGCCUGAGGAACACGAAUCGCAUAUAAGGCCAUAGACGGAGACGAGCGUGCCAGACAGUGCAAAUCAUAAUAGUUGCGGAUGACUGUCUGUGGUAGAUGCGGCAGGUGUAUGGAAUGAAAGAUGUAUGAC
Molecule: non-coding RNA, 175 nt
Organism: Faecalibaculum rodentium
Lineage: Bacteria; Bacillati; Bacillota; Erysipelotrichia; Erysipelotrichales; Erysipelotrichaceae
Source: Rfam